GCCCAAGAGAUCGGGAUAACACCUGGAAACAGAUGCUAAUACCGGAUAACAACAGAUGAUGCCUAUCAACUGUUUAAAAGAUGGUUCUGCUAUCACUCUUGGAUGGACCUGCGGUGCAUUAGCUAGUUGGUAGGGUAACGGCCCACCAAGGCGAUGAUGCAUAGCCGAGUUGAGAUACUGAUCGGCCACAUUGGGACUGAGACACGGCCCAAACUCCUACGGGAGGCAGCAGCU
This 234-nucleotide ribosomal RNA is filed under the name uncultured Lactobacillus sp. RNAcentral describes it as "partial 16S ribosomal RNA". It matches the Rfam family "Bacterial small subunit ribosomal RNA", at positions 128 to 355 of the family's 1533-position model. Lineage: Bacteria; Bacillati; Bacillota; Bacilli; Lactobacillales; Lactobacillaceae. The record is from RNAcentral.